UCAGGGAAGAAAAAAAUGACGGUACCUGAGGAAUAAGCAUCGGCUAACUCCGUGCCAGCAGCCGCGGUAAUACGGAGGAUGCAAGCGNUAUCCGGAAUCAUUGGGCGUAAAGCGUCCGCAGGUGGCACUUCAAGUCUGCUGUCAAAGGUCNGGGCUUAACUCUGAACAGGCAGUGGAAACUGAAGCGCUUUAGUGCGGGAGGUGCAGAGGGAAUUCCUGGAGUAGCGGUGAAAUGCGUAGAGAUCAGGAAGAACACCGGUGGCGANAGCGCUNUGNAUCCUCGAAACUGACCCUGANGGACGAAAGCUAGGGGAGCGAAUGGGAUUAGAUACCCCNUAAUACCCCUUUGUAAACGAUGGAUACUAGGUGUUGUUUGUAUCGACCCACNCAGUGCCGUAGCUAACGCGUUAAGUAUCCCGCCUGGGGAGUACGCNCGCAAGUGUGAAACUCAAANGAAUUUACGNGGGCCCGCACUAGCGGUGGGAUUGAUGGUUUAAUUCGANGNGNCNCGCANANCCUUACCAGGGCNNGACAUGCCCGGAAUCUCAGGNAAACUNUCGAGUGCCUACNGGAACCGGGACACAGGUNGCGCAUGNNUNUCGUCANCUCGUGUNGAGAGAUGUUGGGUUAAGUCCCNCNACNAGCGCAACCCUCSUUCUGAGUUNCCAGCAUUAAGUUGGGCACUCUACACAGACUGCCGGUGACAAACCGGAGGAUGGUGACUANGACGUCAAGUCAGCAUGCCCCUUACGCUCUGGGCUACACACGUACUACAAUGCUAUGGACAAAGGGCAGCAAGUUAGCGAUGACAAGCAAAAGACAUAAACCAUGGCUCAGUUCAGAUCGCAGGCUGCAACUCGCCUGCGUGAAGGCGGAAUCGCUAGUAAUCGCCGGUCAGCCAUACGGCGGUGAAUACGUUCCCGGGCCUUGUACACACCGCCCGUCACACCAUGGAAGCUGGCCACGCCCGAAGUCGUUACCCUAACCGNNGCGGAGGGGGAUGCCGAAGGC
This 1011-nucleotide ribosomal RNA is filed under the name Gloeocapsa sp. UAM573. RNAcentral's name for it is "partial 16S ribosomal RNA". Lineage: Bacteria; Bacillati; Cyanobacteriota; Cyanophyceae; Chroococcidiopsidales; Chroococcidiopsidaceae. The record is from RNAcentral.